RNAcentral lists this ribosomal RNA (542 nucleotides) under Vibrio cholerae. RNAcentral describes it as "partial 23S ribosomal RNA". It matches the Rfam family "Bacterial large subunit ribosomal RNA", at positions 409 to 953 of the family's 2925-position model. The record is from RNAcentral. Lineage: Bacteria; Pseudomonadati; Pseudomonadota; Gammaproteobacteria; Vibrionales; Vibrionaceae.
CGAGUAGGGCGGGACACGUGAUAUCCUGUCUGAAUAUGGGGGGACCAUCCUCCAAGGCUAAAUACUCCUGACUGACCGAUAGUGAACCAGUACCGUGAGGGAAAGGCGAAAAGAACCCCUGUGAGGGGAGUGAAAUAGAACCUGAAACCGUGUACGUACAAGCAGUAGGAGCACCUUCGUGGUGUGACUGCGUACCUUUUGUAUAAUGGGUCAGCGACUUAUAUUCAGUGGCAAGGUUAACCGUAUAGGGGAGCCGUAGCGAAAGCGAGUCUUAACUGGGCGCUCAGUCUCUGGAUAUAGACCCGAAACCGGGUGAUCUAGCCAUGGGCAGGUUGAAGGUUGAGUAACAUCAACUGGAGGACCGAACCGACUAAUGUUGAAAAAUUAGCGGAUGACUUGUGGCUAGGGGUGAAAGGCCAAUCAAACUCGGAGAUAGCUGGUUCUCCCCGAAAGCUAUUUAGGUAGCGCCUCGGACGAAUACUACUGGGGGUAGAGCACUGUUAAGGCUAGGGGGUCAUCCCGACUUACCAACCCUUUGCAAA